GACGAACGCUGGCGGCGUGCCUAAUACAUGCAAGUUGAGCGCUGAAGGUUGGUACUUGUACCAACUGGAUGAGCAGCGAACGGGUGAGUAACGCGUGGGGAAUCUGCCUUUGGGCGGGGGACAACAUUUGGAAACGAAUGCUAAUACCGCAUAAAAACUUUAAACACAAGUUUUAAGUUUGAAAGAUGCAAUUGCAUCACUCAAAGAUGAUCCCGCGUUGUAUUAGCUAGUUGGUGAGGUAAAGGCUCACCAAGGCGAUGAUACAUAGCCGACCUGAGAGGGUGAUCGGCCACAUUGGGACUGAGACACGGCCCAAACUCCUACGGGAGGCAGCAGUAGGGAAUCUUCGGCAAUGGACGAAAGUCUGACCGAGCAACGCCGCGUGAGUGAAGAAGGUUUUCGGAUCGUAAAACUCUGUUGGUAGAGAAGAACGUUGGUGAGAGUGGAAAGCCCAUCAAGUGACGGUAACUACCCAGAAAGGGACGGCUAACUACGUG
RNAcentral lists this ribosomal RNA (497 nucleotides) under uncultured bacterium. RNAcentral's name for it is "partial 16S ribosomal RNA". It matches the Rfam family "Bacterial small subunit ribosomal RNA", at positions 28 to 507 of the family's 1533-position model. The record is from RNAcentral.